UGGGGAAUAUUAGGCAAUGGGGGAAACCCUGACCUAGCCAUGCCGCGUGCGUGAAGAAGGUCUUAGGAUUGUAAAGCGCUUUCAGCGGGGAAGAUGAUGACGGUACCCGCAGAAGAAGCCCCGGCUAACUCCGUGCCAGCAGCCGCGGUAAUACGGAGGGGGCUAGCGUUGUUCGGAAUUACUGGGCGUAAAGCGCGCGUAGGCGGACUGAUCAGUCAGGGGUGAAAUCCCGGGGCUCAACCCCGGAACUGCCUUUGAUACUGUCAGUCUUGAGUCCGGAAGAGGCGAGUGGAAUACCGAGUGUAGAGGUGAAAUUCGUAGAUAUUUUGGAGGAACACCAGUGGCGAAGGCGGCUCACUGGCUCGAUACUGACGCUGAGGUGCGAAAGUGUGGGGAGCAAACAGGAUUAGAUACCCUGGUAGUCCACACCGUAAACGAUGAAUGCCAGUCGUCGGGUAGCAUGCUAUUCGGUGACACACCUAACGGAUUAAGCAUUCCGCCUGGGAGUACGGUCGCAAGAUUAAAAGCUCAAA
RNAcentral lists this ribosomal RNA (533 nucleotides) under uncultured bacterium. RNAcentral's name for it is "bacterial SSU rRNA". It matches the Rfam family "Bacterial small subunit ribosomal RNA", at positions 355 to 905 of the family's 1533-position model. The record is from RNAcentral.